GACGAACGCUGGCGGCGUGCUUAACACAUGCAAGUCGAACGGAAAGGCCUCUUUCGGGGGGUACUCGAGUGGCGAACGGGUGAGUAACACGUGAGUAACCUGCCCUUGACUUUGGGAUAACUUCAGGAAACUGGGGCUAAUACCGGAUAGGAGCUCCUGCUGCAUGGUGGGGGUUGGAAAGUUUCGGCGGUUGGGGAUGGACUCGCGGCUUAUCAGCUUGUUGGUGGGGUAGUGGCUUACCAAGGCUUUGACGGGUAGCCGGCCUGAGAGGGUGACCGGCCACAUUGGGACUGAGAUACGGCCCAGACGCCUACGGGAGGCAGCAGGGGGGAAUAUUGCACAAUGGGUGGAAGCCGGAUGCAGCAACGCCGGGUGCGGGAGGACGGCCUUCGGGUUGGAAACCGCUUUCGCUCAUGACGAAGCUUUGUGUGACGGUAGUGGGUAAAGAAGCACCGGCUAACUACGUG
Molecule: ribosomal RNA, 467 nt
Filed under: uncultured bacterium
Lineage: Bacteria
Description: partial 16S ribosomal RNA
Rfam family: Bacterial small subunit ribosomal RNA
Source: RNAcentral